Molecule: long non-coding RNA, 271 nt
Organism: Grus americana (Whooping crane)
Lineage: Eukaryota; Metazoa; Chordata; Aves; Gruiformes; Gruidae
Exons: 3
Source: RefSeq, a predicted model, not a curated record
GUUACCAUCAGGAUCAUGUCGCUGGCUGACAAAGGGAACUUGGGUCUGGCCUUACUCAAAUAAUGGAAAUGAUCAGGUUCUGUACAGAGCAAGAGCUUGGCAUUGUGUACUUCAACUGAAAUAGCAAGGAGAAUGGCUGAAUGGAGGAUUUUGUUACUAAAAAGAGGACUGAUACCUGAGAUGACAUUUUGUCUGUCCCCAGCUGAGAUUACUGAGAAUGGUGACGCUUGGACUGCUGCAGACUGAGCUCAUCAAUCCUCUGGGAUUCAUC